RNAcentral lists this ribosomal RNA (835 nucleotides) under Micromonospora sp. IM-1238. Its description in RNAcentral is "bacterial SSU rRNA". It matches the Rfam family "Bacterial small subunit ribosomal RNA", at positions 38 to 889 of the family's 1533-position model. Lineage: Bacteria; Bacillati; Actinomycetota; Actinomycetes; Micromonosporales; Micromonosporaceae. The record is from RNAcentral.
GGCGGCGUGCUUAACACAUGCAAGUCGAGCGGAAAGGCCCUUCGGGGUACUCGAGCGGCGAACGGGUGAGUAACACGUGAGCAACCUGCCCUAGGCUUUGGGAUAACCCCGGGAAACGGGGGCUAAUACCGAAUAUGACUUCUGGUCGCAUGACCGGUGGUGGAAAGUUUUUCGGCCUGGGAUGGGCUCGCGGCCUAUCAGCUUGUUGGUGGGGUGAUGGCCUACCAAGGCGACGACGGGUAGCCGGCCUGAGAGGGCGACCGGCCACACUGGGACUGAGACACGGCCCAGACUCCUACGGGAGGCAGCAGUGGGGAAUAUUGCACAAUGGGCGGAAGCCUGAUGCAGCGACGCCGCGUGAGGGAUGACGGCCUUCGGGUUGUAAACCUCUUUCAGCAGGGACGAAGCGUAAGUGACGGUACCUGCAGAAGGAGCGCCGGCCAACUACGUGCCAGCAGCCGCGGUAAGACGUAGGGCGCGAGCGUUGUCCGGAUUUAUUGGGCGUAAAGAGCUCGUAGGCGGCUUGUCGCGUCGACUGUGAAAACCCGCAGCUCAACUGCGGGCCUGCAGUCGAUACGGGCAGGCUAGAGUUCGGUAGGGGAGACUGGAAUUCCUGGUGUAGCGGUGAAAUGCGCAGAUAUCAGGAGGAACACCGGUGGCGAAGGCGGGUCUCUGGGCCGAUACUGACGCUGAGGAGCGAAAGCGUGGGGAGCGAACAGGAUUAGAUACCCUGGUAGUCCACGCUGUAAACGUUGGGCGCUAGGUGUGGGGGGCCUCUCCGGUUCCCUGUGCCGCAGCUAACGCAUUAAGCGCCCCGCCUGGGGAGUACGGCCGC